UGACACAUCUUUAAAAAAUUAGAGUUUGUCUCUCAUUCUGAAGGAAGUUUUCUGGUUAAAUCUUAGUUACUCAGAGACCAAAGCUGAAAUCUUCUUCUCCUUACCUUGCAAGCCAAGGACCAGUGGAGGCAACUGAGAGACCAGACCUGGAAUGGACCUCGUCUGCCUCACGGGGAACCACAAGGAUGGCUGCUCGAAGACCGAGGCCGAAGUCCAGCACUCCUUCCUCCCCGGCAGCUCAACAGACUGGCAUGGCCUCACAUGACUUUCUUCAUGUUACUUCCACUCCCCAAACUUCUACAUCUACAAAAAUGCCAGAGCGAGAGACUGGUAAAUGGCAUUUAUUUUAUACUCUAUCCUUGAUUUUUCUUUACAUUUGAGUGGUACAAUUUGAUGUCUG
This 400-nucleotide long non-coding RNA is filed under the name Chloebia gouldiae (Gouldian finch). Its description in RNAcentral is "Erythrura gouldiae (Gouldian finch) lncRNA (ENSEGOG00005016814.1)". The record is from RNAcentral. Lineage: Eukaryota; Metazoa; Chordata; Aves; Passeriformes; Passeridae.